AUUGAACGCUGGCGGCAGGCCUAACACAUGCCAGUCGAACGGUAACAGGAAACAGCUUGCUGUUUCGCUGACGAGUGGCGGACGGGUGAGUAAUGUCUGGGAAACUGCCUGAUGGAGGGGGAUAACUACUGGAAACGGUAGCUAAUACCGCAUAACGUCGCAAGACCAAAGAGGGGGACCUUCGGGCCUCUUGCCAUCGGAUGUGCCCAGAUGGGAUUAGCUAGUAGGUGGGGUAACGGCUCACCUAGGCGACGAUCCCUAGCUGGUCUGAGAGGAUGACCAGCCACACUGGAACUGAGACACGGUCCAGACUCCUACGGGAGGCAGCAGUGGGGAAUAUUGCACAAUGGGCGCAAGCCUGAUGCAGCCAUGCCGCGUGUAUGAAGAAGGCCUUCGGGUUGUAAAGUACUUUCAGCGGGGAGGAAGGGAGUAAAGUUAAUACCUUUGCUCAUUGACGUUACCCGCAGAAGAAGCACCGGCUAACUCCGUG
RNAcentral lists this ribosomal RNA (490 nucleotides) under uncultured bacterium. RNAcentral's name for it is "partial 16S ribosomal RNA". It matches the Rfam family "Bacterial small subunit ribosomal RNA", at positions 30 to 507 of the family's 1533-position model. The record is from RNAcentral.